Molecule: ribosomal RNA, 323 nt
Filed under: Rhogostoma sp.
Lineage: Eukaryota; Cercozoa; Thecofilosea; Cryomonadida; Rhogostomidae
Description: SSU rRNA
Rfam family: Eukaryotic small subunit ribosomal RNA (bases 60-323)
Source: RNAcentral
GAUUUCUGGUCUAAUGCACCUGGCCCGCAGCUCUUUAGGCCUGUGAGUGCCGGCGCGCGUUUACCAUCCUUCUAGGAAACGAGUCUUCCCUUCACUGGGCCGGAUUCGGGAUCUAGAUCAUUUACUUUGAAAAAAUUAGAGUGUUUAAAGCAGGCUUAUGCUAUGAAUACAUUAGCAUGGAAUAAUAAUCUAGGACUUCGGUUCUAUUUUGUUGGUUUCUAUAACUGAAGUAAUGAUUGAUAGGGAUAGUUGGGGGUGCUAGUAUUGGCCGGUCAGAGGUGAAAUUCUUGGAUUCGGUCAAGACUAACUUAUGCGAAAGCAUU